This 416-nucleotide ribosomal RNA is filed under the name uncultured prokaryote. RNAcentral describes it as "bacterial SSU rRNA". It matches the Rfam family "Bacterial small subunit ribosomal RNA", at positions 505 to 918 of the family's 1533-position model. The record is from RNAcentral.
GUGUCAGCAGCCGCGGUAAGACGUAAGGGGCGAGCGUUGUCCGGAAUUACUGGGCGUAAAGAGCACGUAGGCGGCUGAGUAAGCGGCAGGUGAAAUCCCGUGGCUCAACCACGGAACUGCUUGCCGAACUGCUUGGCUUGAGCACGGGAGAGGGCAGUGGAAUUCCUGGUGUAGCGGUGGAAUGCGUAUAUAUCAGGAGGAACACCCGUGGCGAAGGCUGCUGCCUGGAACGUUGCUGACGCUGAGGUGCGAAAGCCAGGGGAGCAAACAGGAUUAGAUACCCUGGUAGUCCUGGCUGUAAACGAUGGACACUAGGUGUUGGCGGUUCGACCCCGCCAGUGCUGUUAAGCUAACGCGUUAAGUGUCCCGCCUGGGGAGUACGGUCGCAAGGCUGAAACUUAAAUGAAUUGACGGGG